CAUGCAGUCGAGCGGAUGAAGGGAGCUUGCUCCUGGAUUCAGCGGCGGACGGGUGAGUAAUGCCUAGGAAUCUGCCUGGUAGUGGGGGAUAACGUCCGGAAACGGGCGCUAAUACCGCAUACGUCCUGAGGGAGAAAGUGGGGGAUCUUCGGACCUCACGCUAUCAGAUGAGCCUAGGUCGGAUUAGCUAGUUGGUGGGGUAAAGGCCUACCAAGGCGACGAUCCGUAACUGGUCUGAGAGGAUGAUCAGUCACACUGGAACUGAGACACGGUCCAGACUCCUACGGGAGGCAGCAGUGGGGAAUAUUGGACAAUGGGCGAAAGCCUGAUCCAGCCAUGCCGCGUGUGUGAAGAAGGUCUUCGGAUUGUAAAGCACUUUAAGUUGGGAGGAAGGGCAGUAAGCUAAUACCUUGCUGUUUUGACGUUACCAACAGAAUAAGCACCGGCUAACUUCGUGCCAGCAGCCGCGGUAAUACGAAGGGUGCAAGCGUUAAUCGGAAUUACUGGGCGUAAAGCGCGCGUAGGUGGUUCAGCAAGUUGGAUGUGAAAUCCCCGGGCUCAACCUGGGAACUGCAUCCAAAACUACUGAGCUAGAGUACGGUAGAGGGUGGUGGAAUUUCCUGUGUAGCGGUGAAAUGCGUAGAUAUAGGAAGGAACACCAGUGGCGAAGGCGACCACCUGGACUGAUACUGACACUGAGGUGCGAAAGCGUGGGGAGCAAACAGGAUUAGAUACCCUGGUAGUCCACGCCGUAAACGAUGUCGACUAGCCGUUGGGAUCCUUGAGAUCUUAGUGGCGCAGCUAACGCGAUAAGUCGACCGCCUGGGAGUACGGCCGCAGGUUAAACUCAAUGAAUUGACGGGGGCCCGCACAGCGGUGAGCAUGUGGUUUAAUUCGAAGCACGCGAGAACUUACCUGGCCUUGACAUGCUGAGACUUCAGAGAUGGAUGUGCUUCGGACUCAGACCAGUGCUGCAUGC
This 979-nucleotide ribosomal RNA is filed under the name Pseudomonas aeruginosa. RNAcentral's name for it is "bacterial SSU rRNA". It matches the Rfam family "Bacterial small subunit ribosomal RNA", at positions 54 to 1048 of the family's 1533-position model. The record is from RNAcentral. Lineage: Bacteria; Pseudomonadati; Pseudomonadota; Gammaproteobacteria; Pseudomonadales; Pseudomonadaceae.